UCCGGUUUUUCACCGGCAGUCCCUUUAGAGUGCUCAGCAUAAUCUGGUGGCAACUAAAGGCAGGGGUUGCGCUCGUUGCGGGACUUAACCCAACAUCUCACGACACGAGCUGACGACAGCCUUGCAGCACCUGUGCUGGUACCCGACUCUACGGGUCGCCGACCCUUUCGGGCGACUACUGCCAACAUGUCAAGCCCUGGUAAGGUUCUUCGCUUUGCAUCGAAUUAAGCCACGCGCUCCGCCGCUUGUGCGGGCCCCCGUCAAUUCCUUUGAGUUUCAACCUUGCGGUCGUACUCCCCAGGCGGGGUACUUCCUGCGUUAGCGCCGGCACCCAGAGGGUCGCUCCCCCAGGCACCUAGUACCCAUCGUUUACGGCGUGGACUAC
RNAcentral lists this unclassified non-coding RNA (385 nucleotides) under uncultured bacterium. RNAcentral describes it as "contains 16S-23S intergenic spacer region". The record is from RNAcentral.